CCGUAACUAUAACGGUCCUAAGGUAGCGAAAUUCCUUGUCGGGUAAGUUCCGACCCGCACGAAUGGCGUAACGAUGGCCACACUGUCUCCUCCCGAGACUCAGCGAAGUUGAAAUGGUUGUGAAGAUGCAAUCUCCCCGCUGCUAGACGGAAAGACCCCGUGAACCUUUACUGUAGCUUUGCAUUGGACUUUGAAGUCACUUGUGUAGGAUAGGUGGGAGGCUUAGAAGCAGAGACGCCAGUCUCUGUGGAGCCGUCCUUGAAAUACCACCCUGGUGUCUUUGAGGUUCUAACCCAGACCCGUAAUCCGGGUCGGGGACCGUGCAUGGUAGGCAGUUUGACUGGGGCGGUCUCCUCCCAAAGAGUAACGGAGGAGUUCGAAGGUUACCUAGGUCCGGUCGGAAAUCGGACUGAUAGUGCAAUGGCAAAAGGUAGCUUAACUGCGAGACCGACAAGUCGAGCAGGUGCGAAAGCAGGACAUAGUGAUCCGGUGGUUCUGAAUGGAAGGGCCAUCGCUCAACGGAUAAAAGGUACUCCGGGGAUAACAGGCUGAUUCCGCCCAAGAGUUCAUAUCGACGGCGGAGUUUGGCACCUCGAUGUCGGCUCAUCACAUCCUGGGGCUGUAGUCGGUCCCAAGGGUAUGGCUGUUCGCCAUUUAAAGUGGUACGUGAGCUGGGUUUAAAACGUCGUGAGACAGUUUGGUCCCUAUCUGCAGUGGGCGUUGGAAGUUUGACGGGGGCUGCUCCUAGUACGAGAGGACCGGAGUGGACGAACCUCUGGUGUACCGGUUGUCACGCCAGUGGCAUCGCCGGGUAGCUAAGUUCGGGAAGGAUAAGCGCUGAAAGCAUCUAAGCGCGAAACCUGCCUGGAGAUGAGACUUCCCUGGGGGUUAAACCCUCCUGAAGAGUCGUUCUAGACCAGGACGUUGAUAGGUGGGGUGUGGAAGCGCGGCAACGCGUGCAGCUAACCCAUACUAAUUGCUCGUGAGGCUUGACUCU
RNAcentral lists this ribosomal RNA (997 nucleotides) under human metagenome. RNAcentral's name for it is "bacterial LSU rRNA". It matches the Rfam family "Bacterial large subunit ribosomal RNA", at positions 1934 to 2925 of the family's 2925-position model. The record is from RNAcentral.